CUUGUAGGUAUGGGAGGAAUUUUGUUUCUUUGUUCUUUCAUAUUUUGAAUGCAAACUUAAGUAAUACCUGAAACCAGUUCUCUUUCACUUUGUGUUGAGCUGUAAAUCUUUCUCUUCAAUACUGUCCAAUGUUUGCUGCACUGAAUUCACACUGAACCUUUUUACAAGCCUGAUGAAUGAACAGGUCUGACCAAUGCUGAACAAGAAACUAUGUGUGCAACAUUCCCUGUCAGGUCUCUCUCACAUAGUUUCUCUAAAGCUUAACCUGUGUUAACUAGAUUUUCUAUUUGUCUCUAUUUUGCAUUGGAUUCAAUCUAUAGGGCUAAAUACUUUUUUAUUUAUUUUUUUUAGCUUGGAACAAUUUAUAAAAGGGGGAUUCGUGGGAUUCUGGACUGGAUCCCCAAAUGAGUUGCAGAAAAUCAGGAAUCCGAAAGUCCACAAAUCAAUAACUAUCUCAUUUGUCAGUCACAGCCAGCUCAUAUUUAGCUAACACUUGUUUAGACUAAUCAUACAUACAUAUCUAUAUAACCAGUGCUUCGAGCAACCUGGAUUUGUUUCCACACAGUAUGAAGACUGACGAAGGCCUAUAACCUGAGGAGGAAAUGCUAUAUCACAUUAUUUUAUGAGGCGUGCUCUGGCUCAUCUGUCAGUCUGUGUUUCUUUCUGCUUUCACUCUUUUGUAGGUCUGACCUGAUAUUUUUAGGAUGGUGGAAACUUCUAGUGAGAUUGCUAGCACACUAUAGAUGAGAGGGAAAAGGACCUGUACUCACCUGCGUGUACAUUUACACAUCUGAAAAAUAAAAAGAGUUAAGUGAAAAGGGGGAAAUUAUAUACAAUUAUUUUUACAUAAAUUAGAUUUUUUUCCCCCCCAAGAAGUAAAUUUUCCUCUUUUUUUCCACAGCUAGUCCGAACCUACUGAUUUGCUUGGGUUACCCCCAGGUUAAGAACCAUUGGAGAAGUGUAUACUUUUAUGACGAAGAGGAAUGGUAAAUUGAGAAAAGCAGCGGGUCGAGCACUGAACCCUGAAGCACCUCAGAGUGGUUACGUGAUAUGACUUAGACACCCUUCCUAGUACUUGCCCAUGAGGAAAAACACAAGUGCAGUUAAGAGUUUUAGAGAGAAUGAACAUGGAAAGUUUCUUCUGUCUUUAUGUUUUAAACUUUGAUAUAAUAUUUCCACUUUAUCUAAACCAAAUUAAAGUAGUUAAGAAAUCCUACUCUGUAAAUGAGUGUAAAGAAAAUAAUACUGUUGUUACUUCCUUCCCCAUUGUUAAUUUUAUUUUAAGCAUUUUAAUUCAAAAUAGGGUAUAAAAAACAUACAAGGAGAGCUCCUAUUCAAAAGUGCAAACAAAUUGGAAAUACUGAAUCAAAACAUAAAAUGCCUAGCACAGACAGAUGCGAGUUAGUCACACUGACAAUUGUGGUAAAUAUACACUGGCCUAUUUUGGGCAGUCAUUGUGAGCCCAGUAAGUACUUUGAAAAGUAGUUACAACCCUCCCCUUCUAAACAUUUAUUAUCAUUCUAGUUUUGUUGUUUUGUUAAAACUCAUGAGGAUGUUAGAUAUCUAAUUGUAUCUAUCAUGACACCCUGCUGAUUCAUUUCACAUCCAUUAACAUGUCUACAAAUCAAAUUAUAUGCCAGAUGUGAAAAUGUAUUUCUGUCCUAUAAAUUCUGUAUAAUAAAUCCUGUAUAAUAAUUUUGUACAGUCUUUCUACUUUUAAA
Long non-coding RNA from Cyprinus carpio carpio, 1721 nucleotides. Lineage: Eukaryota; Metazoa; Chordata; Actinopteri; Cypriniformes; Cyprinidae. The record is from Ensembl.